GCUUUGGCAAAUGGUGAGAAUGAGAAGAAUGCCAGCACUUCAGUCUUCCAAAAGAUUGAAGCUUUCGAGGAAGAACUGAAAGCCCAUUUGCCUAAACAAGUUGAGAGUGCAAGAGAGGCGCACGAGAGUGGGAAUCCAGCAGUUGCCAACAAGAUCAAAGAAUGCAGGUCUUACCCAUUGUACAAGUUUUGUGAGGGAGGAGUUAGGAACUGGGUUGCUCACUGGUGAGAAGGUCCGGGCACAUGGCGGUGAAAACCUUAUCAAAU
RNAcentral lists this unclassified non-coding RNA (266 nucleotides) under Hevea brasiliensis (rubber tree). Lineage: Eukaryota; Viridiplantae; Streptophyta; Magnoliopsida; Malpighiales; Euphorbiaceae. The record is from RNAcentral.